AAACAUUUAAUUGUGUGAGCUUGAAUAUUAUUUUAAAGUGCUAUUGUAAUCCAAAUGUGAUAGUGGAUAAUGAAUAUUUUGAACCAAAUAUUAUAGGUUUUAUUUUAAUUAUUAUUGAAAUCCAAAGUAAACAUAGUGAUCCCCUAUAGGGGAUUCGGUUGCAACAAGAUAAGUGAAGACAUCUUUAUUCCUUCUUGGUUAUCAUCACAAACCAAUAAAUACUUAGAAACCGAGAUUAAAACCGAAGAGAAAUAUAAGUGUGUUUAUAGAGUUUCUUCAUAAUCCUUAAACAAAUCUAUGUCGUCUAUUUAGUGAGUAUCAACGCUCAAGACACCCUCAUUAGUGAUACACAUAAAACCUAAAAGAUAUUCACAUUAUAAAAGCAUUAUGAAUAUAAAAAAUUGAUCAUGAAAGCAUUUGUCAUAAAAUUAUUGAAACUUAUUUGUUUUAUAUUAGAAACAUUGAAACAUUGUUUUCUAUUAUGGAUUGAAAUACAGGAAAAAUAUUUGGGUUUAAGGAUCAAAUAUUUGGGUUUAACGUUUAUAUUCUUAAAUAAUCAUAUAACAAAAUAUUUAUUUUAUUUAUCUAACCCUUUUUUAUUUUAUAUCCGAAAAAAUGCAUAAAAGAUCCAAUAUUUGAUAUUCCCAAAGAUUCAAUGAAAUGAUGAUCCAACAUUUGUUCUUCACCUACAGUGAUGACGAUGAAUCAAAUUCAAAAUUUAUUAUAUACUUUUACUUUAAUAUUCUUCUUAAACAAUGUAAUAUAAUAUUUUGUGUAAAUAAUAUAAUUUGUUAGAAAUUUAAUUUAAUAUUCUAUGUAAACAAUUUAAUUUGUAUUAACAAAUAUUUUUUCUCGAUUUUGAUCAUAAAUCGAGAGGUAUGUGACACGAGUUUUGAAAAUAUAAAAAAUGUUUUUGUUGCGGAUCAAAUCAAUAAACAUUUCAAAUAUCUCCUCGACUAUUCAGAAAUUGAGGGGUAAAGGGGAUAAAUUUUUAUAACGUCUUUCGUUACCUGACUUACAUCACCAAAGUAAAUUUUCAUUCGUGUUUGACAUAACAUAUAUUUUUGUUGUAAUGUUGUUUCUAAAGAUGGUGAUUCUGAAGACUUGGUUUUAAAUUUGAUCGUGGUUUUGGUGUCACUCUUGAAAAUCCUUGUUUCUGUUGAUGGUGAUUGAGGUGGCUUGAGUUCUAGAAAGUUUUCAUUAUGGGACGAGGAUUUUGUUGUUAGUAUCUUCUGUUAGCAUGGUAUUUGUGUUCACUUUUUAUUUUUCAGGUUGUUUGUGUAGACCAUCUAGCUAUCUUCUUUGUUUUAGGGACCCCUCACUGGCAUAUAUAAAUACCUUUGUUAUGUAUUUUGUUAGGUUGUUUCCCAUAUCUAUUAUUAUAACAGCGCUUAAAAUAUUAUAGUAAAUCAAAACAUUUAACUGUGGGAGCUUCAAGAUCAUAUUAAAGUGCUAUUGUAAUCCAAAUGUGAUAGUGGAUAAUGAAUAUUUUGAAUUAAACAUUAUAGAUUUUAUUUUAAUUAUUAUUGAAAUACAAAGUAAACAUAGUGAUCCCCUAUAGGGGAUUCGGUUGCAACAAGAUAAGUGAAGACAUCUUUAUUCCUUCUUGGUUAUCAUCACAAACCAAUAAAUACUUAUUCAUCAAGCGCAUGACCUGCAAGCUGCUCAGUGCUU
RNAcentral lists this long non-coding RNA (1674 nucleotides) under Lathyrus oleraceus (garden pea). RNAcentral describes it as "Pisum sativum (pea) long non-coding RNA (PSAT_LNC034661)". The record is from RNAcentral. Lineage: Eukaryota; Viridiplantae; Streptophyta; Magnoliopsida; Fabales; Fabaceae.